GAUGAACGCUAGCGGCAGGCCUAAUACAUGCAAGUCGAGGGGUAGAAGAGGCUUGCUUCUUUGAGACCGGCGCACGGGUGCGUAACGCGUAUGCAACCUACCUUCAUCUGGGGGAUAGCCCGGAGAAAUCCGGAUUAACACCGCAUAAAAUCACAGGAUGGCAUUAUCCAAUGAUCAAACAUUUAUGGGAUGGAGAUGGGCAUGCGUGUCAUUAGCUAGUUGGCGGGGUAACGGCCCACCAAGGCGACGAUGACUAGGGGAUCUGAGAGGAUGGCCCCCCACACUGGUAAUGGGACACGGACCAGACUCCUACGGGAGGCAGCAGUAAGGAAUAUUGGUCAAUGGAGGCAACUCUGAACCAGCCAUGCCGCGUGCAGGAAGACUGCCCUAUGGGUUGUAAACUGCUUUUAUUCGGGAAUAAACCUUAUUACGUGUAAUAAGCUGAAUGUACCGAAGGAAUAAGGAUCGGCUAACUCCGUGCCAGCCGCCGCCGUAA
RNAcentral lists this ribosomal RNA (496 nucleotides) under uncultured bacterium. RNAcentral describes it as "partial 16S ribosomal RNA". It matches the Rfam family "Bacterial small subunit ribosomal RNA", at positions 28 to 523 of the family's 1533-position model. The record is from RNAcentral.